This 200-nucleotide ribosomal RNA is filed under the name uncultured bacterium. Its description in RNAcentral is "partial 16S ribosomal RNA". It matches the Rfam family "Bacterial small subunit ribosomal RNA", at positions 30 to 232 of the family's 1533-position model. The record is from RNAcentral.
AUUGAACGCUAGCGGGAUGCCUUACACAUGCAAGUCGAACGGCAGCACGGACUUCGGUCUGGUGGCGAGUGGCGAACGGGUGAGUAAUGUAUCGGAACGUGCCUAGUAGCGGGGGAUAACUACGCGAAAGCGUAGCUAAUACCGCAUACGCCCUACGGGGAAGCAGGGGAUCGCAAGACCUUGCACUAUUAGAGCGGCCG